This 1343-nucleotide long non-coding RNA is filed under the name Solanum tuberosum (potato). Its description in RNAcentral is "long non-coding RNA (STUB_LNC004199)". Lineage: Eukaryota; Viridiplantae; Streptophyta; Magnoliopsida; Solanales; Solanaceae. The record is from RNAcentral.
AGGAAACAAAAAAAUUAUUGGAGGUUCUUUAUUAGCACCAUUAUCGGAAGGAUUACACAAGUAACACAAUUAUUCAACUAAUAAAAUACAAUUCUAAAUCUAAUUAGUAACGUUUGAAAUAAUAAUAACAACAACAAAAAAGUAUUAAAGAAAAGUCAUCAUUAAAAAGAUACCCAAAAAAAAACAAAAUGUUGCAAAAAGAAUGCAAUCCAAGAAUAUGAAUUACAAUGAGUCCAUAAAAAUUAAGCUAAAAUUAAAACGUAAACUCUCAUUUUCCCAUCCUAAUUAAAAAUGUCUACUUCUUUUCAACAAGUUUCUCAAUCAGGUCAGCUGCAUCUUGAACUGUUACAAUAUUCUCAGAGUUCUCUUCUUCUACUGCAAUCCCAAACUCUUCUUCUAGGGCCAUCACAAUUUCCACCUGUUCGCGCGUUACAAACACUUAAUAGGUUCAAUCUUGUACAGUAUAUAUAAGGUUAAUUUUUUAAUAUACGUAUAGUAACUAGAUGUUGAAUUGUUUUUCACGAAAAUCCUAAAUCCGACACAGAAAGUACUCACAGUGUCAAGAGAGUCGGCUCCGAGGUCCUUAGUGAAAGUACUUUCAGGGCUGACCUUAGUUUCUGCUGGUAAAGCCAGUUGUUUCCUCACUAUGCUUAUUACCUUAUCAAUUGUCUCUGCCUUUGCCUGCUCAUCAUGCAGAAUGGAUCAAUCAAUAAAAAGAGUGAAACUAAUACUGUACUAAUUCUGUUUCAAUUUGUUUGUCUGAUAAUGACUUGACAUAUAUAUAGCGUUUAAGAAAGUAAAAAGACUACUGAUUCUUGCGAUUCUGUUGAAUGUACUAUUUUGCUCUGUUUGAACCCGGAUAUAAGUGUAAGUGUGAAUUAAAAUCAAAUGUGGUUGUAGCAUAGCAGAGUGGAGCAGCCGCGAUAUAAAGAAUACUUCUAGGCAUUUGUAUUAAAACAUGUUAGCCUACAUAUGCCUAUUGUCGAUUGGGAACAAAUAUUUGGCCAACUUUGCAUCGAUUUAUGUUUUAAUACAAAUUAAUGGAGUGAUAGUUCAUGUAGAUAACAGAACAAUGGGUAGUUAAGGUAUGAAACUCAUGAAAAAAGUAGUAAUAGUUUAGGUAUGUUUUCGACUAUUAUACAAAUGUUAACUAAAUAUAUGUGCAACAAAAAAGAAAUGGAGAAGAAGAAUUUACAGCUGCAACACGAAAGCGGGAUGUUCUGAGAGAAGGGAAACCAGCACUACUCCUUCCCCAACCCACUGAAACCAACUUCACAGUACCUCUGUUUAUCUGCACACAUUUUGCCCAAAAUUAGAAGUUUGAACGAACAGUCAAAACUCUC